AAGUUAUUGUUUUACGUUUGGUUCUCAUUGUUGUAGAUUCUUUCCAUGUCUGGUUUUAUUUUGAAGGUUUCUGUUGGUGUUCUUGUUUACUUCCUGUUUGUCUUUUUUCCCUCCAUUGUGAUUACAUGUCCCCGCCCUAAUGUGCUGCACCUGUGUCUCAUUGUCUCUCCUGUUUUGUGUAUUUAAGGUCAGCCUUUCCCUUACCCCAGUGUGAGAUCGUCUGCUUCUUUUGUGUUCAACCUUCAAGCGUUUUCCUAGUGUCCUGUUUUCUAGUUUGUUGUUUCCCUGGAUUUUGACCACUGCCUGUUUUUCGGAUUACCCUGUUUGCCUGCCGAUUUGGACACUUUUGCUUGGUUUGGCGAUUGAGACGUGUGGAGGAGAUCUGUAUGAGGAUCUCUGUGUGUACGCCCAGCCUGAAGGAGCUGAGGCCCCAUGGGAGUGAGACAGCCUCACAAUAACUUGCAACUUCUUGAUUAUAAAAGUACAAAUAUUAACAAAAAUAAGAGUUCUUAGUUGAGAUUAGUAAUUUCCUUUAGUACAAUGUUUGUUUCUAAAUGUGCAACGACUUAUUCUAAAACGCUUUCUACAUGUGCUGUUGAUUUUAUGCUAUUUAGUAACACUGGAGUGAAUAAUCAGUUGUGAUUUGAAGUCCACUGAAAUGUAAAUGAACAAUUCUACAAUUCAGACUCGACAGCUGACACUUCAGCAUUUUUGGUGCUUGUUUAAUACAAAGUGUUGUGUAUUAUUUUAUAUGGACUUCUCUGACGUGAGAGUGUGAUAUAUCUAAAUGUUUGUGCAUCAGAGCCUGAACAAGGCCCUUCUUAUUCCUGUUUGAUUAUAUUACAAAUCUGUAUUCCUUUUGUUAAUGUAACGAGAAGAAAAGCAAUAAACAAGUUUCCAUUUGCU
This is a long non-coding RNA of Perca fluviatilis (European perch), 906 nucleotides long. RefSeq lists it as uncharacterized. The record is from RefSeq and is a predicted model, not a curated record. NCBI's taxonomy places the organism in Eukaryota, Metazoa, Chordata, Actinopteri, Perciformes, Percidae. The transcript is spliced from 2 exons.